UGGGGAAUAUUGCACAAUGGGGGAAACCCUGAUGCAGCGACGCCGCGUGAGCGAAGAAGGCCUUCGGGUCGUAAAGCUCUUUUAUGAGGGAAGAUAAUGACGGUACCUCAAGAAAAAGCCCCGGCUAACUACGUGCCAGCAGCCGCGGUAAUACGUAGGGGGCUAGCGUUGUCCGGAAUCACUGGGCGUAAAGGGUUCGCAGGCGGAAUAACAAGUCAGAUGUGAAAGGCAUGGGCUCAACCCAUGUAAGCAUUUGAAACUGUAAUUCUUGAGAAGUGGAGAGGUAAGUGGAAUUCCUAGUGUAGCGGUGAAAUGCGUAGAUAUUAGGAGGAAUACCUGUGGCGAAGGCGACUUACUGGACACAAAUCUGACGCUGAGGAACGAAAGCGUGGGGAGCGAACAGG
This 404-nucleotide ribosomal RNA is filed under the name Bacteroidota bacterium. Its description in RNAcentral is "Bacteroidetes bacterium partial 16S ribosomal RNA". It matches the Rfam family "Bacterial small subunit ribosomal RNA", at positions 355 to 776 of the family's 1533-position model. Lineage: Bacteria; Pseudomonadati; Bacteroidota. The record is from RNAcentral.